RNAcentral lists this ribosomal RNA (468 nucleotides) under uncultured bacterium. RNAcentral's name for it is "partial 16S ribosomal RNA". It matches the Rfam family "Bacterial small subunit ribosomal RNA", at positions 28 to 507 of the family's 1533-position model. The record is from RNAcentral.
GACGAACGCUGGCGGCGUGCUUAACACAUGCAAGUCGAACGGAAAGGCCCUGCUUUUGUGGGGUGCUCGAGUGGCGAACGGGUGAGUAACACGUGAGUAACCUGCCCUUGACUUUGGGAUAACUUCAGGAAACUGGGGCUAAUACCGGAUAGGAGCUCCUGCUGCAUGGUGGGGGUUGGAAAGUUUCGGCGGUUGGGGAUGGACUCGCGGCUUAUCAGCUUGUUGGUGGGGUAGUGGCUUACCAAGGCUUUGACGGGUAGCCGGCCUGAGAGGGUGACCGGCCACAUUGGGACUGAGAUACGGCCCAGACUCCUACGGGAGGCAGCAGUGGGGAAUAUUGCACAAUGGGCGGAAGCCUGAGGCAGCAACGCCGCGUGCGGGAUGACGGCCUUCGGGGUGUAAACCGCUUUCGCCUGUGACGAAGCGUGAGUGACGGUAAUGGGUAAAGAAGCACCGGCUAACUACGUG